Molecule: non-coding RNA, 21 nt
Organism: Caenorhabditis elegans
Lineage: Eukaryota; Metazoa; Nematoda; Chromadorea; Rhabditida; Rhabditidae
Source: Ensembl
UACUAGUGCUUCGGAAAACAA